AGUAGUAGUUUACCUGAUUAGGACAAUGCACAUUAAUCAACUUUUGUGUAAAUGCACCGGUGUUAGCCAGUCAGCUGAUUUUCAACUGCAUUCCUAGUUACCCAGCAUGCACGUCUUUAUGGUUAUGUGUGUGUG
Etheostoma cragini (Arkansas darter) is the source of this 135-nucleotide long non-coding RNA. RefSeq lists it as uncharacterized. The record is from RefSeq and is a predicted model, not a curated record. The transcript has 3 exons. Lineage: Eukaryota; Metazoa; Chordata; Actinopteri; Perciformes; Percidae.